AGCCCGUCUGCGACGGGGCGGUCCUGCCUGCGCCUCGAGCGGGCCCGCGGAAGUGGCUCCCCGACGUGCGCGAACGCUCUCUACUGGGGCCUGUCCCGGUCCCUGGUAGUGGGCGGCGGCGCUCGCAGGCUGCCCUGGCGCGCUGUGCAUGACCACUGCCCACCUGCUUGCAGUUUCCCGCUGCCUCCUUCCCGUCCCGUCUCAGGUGAUCUUCCGGGUCCGCCAUCCCAGGCGGGCGGAUGUCUGUCGGGGGAAGGGCCCAUGAAAUGGCCACAGAUGACAAACGAUCUCCGACACUGGACUCUAAUAUUGAUCUACCUCAUUCUCCAAGUAGUCCAUCUCACCUCACUCACUUCAAACCCCUGACUCCUGACCAGGAUGAGCCUCCUUUUAAAUCAGCCUACAGCUCUUUUGUAAAUCUCUUCCGUUUCAGCAAAGAUGAUGGCAGGCUUUCAUCACCAGCAGAGAGAGCAGAGGUAGGACAGCGUGAUCCACAAGCAUUGAGUGGUGGCUGGUCCAGUCCUCAGCAUCCCACCAGGGCUCAGUCUCUGAGGUCACCGCUUCCUUACAAGAAACAACUGACUGGUGAGCUGCAAAGAAGAUCUUCUACAACCCUGGACAAUCGAAGAAAAGUGGAACCGCCUCUUGGAGGUCAUGAUCCUCGAACAGCUGUGCAGUUAAGAAGCCUCAGCACUGUUUUGAAGCGCCUCAAAGAAAUCAUGGAGGGAAAGAGCCAGGACAGUGAUCUGAAGCAGUACUGGAUGCCUGACAGCCAAUGCAAAGAAUGCUAUGACUGCAGUGAGAAAUUCACCACCUUUCGGCGGAGACACCACUGUCGACUUUGUGGGCAGAUCUUCUGUAGUCGAUGCUGCAAUCAGGAAAUCCCUGGAAAAUUCAUGGGCUACACAGGGGAUCUCCGAGCCUGCACUUACUGCCGCAAGAUAGCCCUAAGCUAUGCCCACUCCACAGACAGUAACUCGAUUGGAGAAGACUUAAAUGCUCUGUCAGAUUCCGCAUGUUCCGUAUCAGUGCUGGAUCCUGGCGAGCCACGCACUCCGGUUGGGAGCCGGAAAGCGAGCCGCAACAUCUUCCUGGAGGAGGAUCUAACCUGGCAAAGUUUGAUUCACCCAGACUCUUCAGCCACAACGUUGUCUGCACGCCUUGGGUCUGUCCAGGAGGAUGCAGGGAAGUCACCAGCUAGGAACAGAUCAGCCAGCAUCACUAACCUGUCACUGGAUCGGUCAGGUUCGCCAAUGGUGCCUGCCUAUGAGACAUCUGUUAGCCCCCAGGCCAGUCGCACACAUAUGAAGGCUGAGACCAGCGAGGAUGAGCGCAAAAUCCUUCUGGACUCAGUCCAACUGAAGGAUCUAUGGAAGAAAAUCUGCCAUCACAACAGUGGGAUGGAGUUUCAAGAUCAUCGCUACUGGUUGCGGACACAUCCCAAUUGCAUUGUGGGAAAAGAGCUGGUCAACUGGCUUAUCAGAAAUGGCCACAUAACCACGAGGGUCCAAGCCAUUGCAAUAGGACAAGCGUUGGUUGAUGGACGCUGGCUAGAAUGUGUCAGUCAUCACGAUCAGCUCUUCAGAGAUGAGUAUGCUCUCUACAGACCGUUACAGAGCACGGAGUUCUCAGAAACCCCAUCUCCAGACAGUGACUCUGUGAACUCUGUAGAGGGGCACUCUGAGCCAUCCUGGUUCAAAGACAUCAAAUUUGAUGACAGUGACACAGAGCAGAUUGCUGAUGAAGGAGAAGAUAACCUAGCCAACUCUGCCAGCCCUAGCAAGCGCACUUCAGUCAGCAGCUUCCAGUCCACAAUGGACAGUGAUUCAGCCGCCUCCAUCAGCCUGAACGUGGAGCUGGACAACGUGAACUUCCAUAUCAAGAAGCACUCCAAGUACCCACAUGUGCCCCCUCACCCUGCCGACCAAAAAGAGUACUUGAAUCCUGAAAACGGAGGGCAGCAGAUGUUCUCUAUAAGUGAUGCUUUUAUUAAAGAGUCAUUAUUCAACAGGAGGGUGGAGGAGAAGUCCAAAGAACUCUUUUUCACGCCCCUAGGCUGGCACCACAGCAAUCUGGAUCUGCUGAGAGAAGAGAAUGGGGAGAAACAAGCCAUGGAGAGGCUGCUGUCAGCUAAUCACAGCCACAUGAUGUCACUGCUUCAGCAGCUUCUGUACAAUGAGUCCCUGUCACUGGCCUGGAGGGAUAUCAUUGUACCUGUGGUCUGCCAGGUAGUUCAAACUGUACGACCUGAUGUCAAGAACAGAGAUGAUGACAUGGAUAUCCGCCAGUUUGUCCACAUCAAAAAAAUCCCUGGUGGAAAGAAAUUUGACUCGAUGGUGGUGAAUGGAUUUGUUUGCACUAAGAACAUUGCACACAAAAAGAUGAACUCCUGCUUAAAAAAUCCCAAAAUUCUUCUGCUGAAGUGCUCAAUUGAGUAUCUUUAUCGAGAAGAAACAAAGUUUACCUGCAUAGACCCUAUAGUACUUCAGGAAAGGGAGUUCUUGAAGAACUAUGUACAACGGAUAGUUGAUGUCAGGCCUAAUUUGGUCCUUGUUGAGAAGACUGUGUCUCGAAUUGCCCAGGACAUGCUCUUAGAGCAUGGUAUCACUCUGGUCAUCAAUGUCAAGCCGCAAGUGUUAGACCGGGUAAGUCGAAUGACCCAAGGAGACUUAGUGAUGUCAAUGGAUCAACUGUUGACAAAACCACGUCUGGGAACCUGUCAUAAAUUUUAUAUGCAAGCUUUUCCAUUACCCAAUGAUCAGACAAAAACCCUGAUGUUCUUUGAAGGGUGUCCCCAGCACCUGGGUUGCACUAUCAAGUUGUGUGGUGCUGCAGAGUAUGAGCUGGCUCGUGUGAAGGAGAUCUUGAUCUUCAUGGUCUGUGUGGCUUAUCAUUCCCAGCUGGAAAUCUCUUUCCUUAUGGAUGAGUUUGCCAUGCCCCCUACUCUGAUCAAAAACACCUCCUUUCACUCCCUCAUUGAGGAGCCAGGAGAUGAAAAUGAGCAAGAGAACCUCUUCAAUGGCGAGGAUUUCGGCACAGCCAUCAAAGACAUUGAGCUGUCCUCUGAAAAGCUGCCCAUAAUCUCUGAGUCAGUGUCCUCUGAUGAAGUCAGCUUGCUUGAACAAAAAGGUUUAUUUGAGAGAGGUGACCAAGAGAAAAUUCAUCUGGAAACAGCAUCCUCAAAACAGCAAGUGCAUCACAAUGCGGAGUCACCAUUUCCAGUGUUCAACUCUGUGCCUCCUGCAAUACCUGAAACAUCCCUGCUGCCUCUGCAUGGCAUGGACCAGCACUUGGUCACUCUGGAUAGCCAGAUACUAGAGCCUCCUCAGCAGGCAGAUGAUCUGCAGGAGUCCAAGAGUCAAAAGAGAGUCUUCAGAGACCCUCUCCAGGAUGAUACUGGUUUAUAUGUCACAGAAGAAGUGACUUCUGAGGAUCGCCUCAAGACUUACUCUGCAGCAUUUAAGCAGGAGUUGAAAGAUGUCAUUCUCUGUAUUUCUCCUGUAAUAGUAUUCCGUGAACCAUUUCUUUUGACUGAAAAAGGUAUGAGAUGCCCUGCCCGGGAAUACUUCCCUGAGCAAGUUUAUUGGUCUCCUCUCCUCAAUAAGGAAUACAAGGAGUUGGAGAGCAGAAGGAAGAGACAGUUGUUGCGGGAUCUCUCUGGACUACAGGGGAUGAAUGGGAGCAUUCAAGCCAAGGCUAUCCAGAUCUUACCUUCUCAUGAGCUGGUUAAUACAAGAAUAGCAGAACAUCUGGGGGAUAGCCAGAGCUUAGCCAGAAUGCUGGCUGACUAUCGGGCCAGAGGAGGGAGGAUACUGCAGAAAAACACAGAUCCCUUUGCCCAAAGUAAGGAUGUUUCUAGUGUCCCUACUGGAAAAACUGGAUGCAGAACUGAAGAGGAUGAGAAAGGACUGGUUCAGAGUGAUUCCUCAUGGUCUCAUAAGGUGGAUUGCCUGAGUCCAAUAAACCAUCAGAGGCUCUGCAUUCUCUUCAGUAGCUCUUCUGCUCAGUCCAGCAAUGCUCCGAGUGCCUGUGUUAGCCCCUGGAUUGUGACCAUGGAGUUCUAUGGGAAAAAUGACCUGACUCUUGGGAUUUUUCUGGAGCGCUACUGUUUCAGGCCUUCCUAUCAAUGCCCCAGCAUGUUCUGUGAAACACCAAUGGUGCAUCACAUUCGUCGCUUUGUUCAUGGGCAAGGCUGUGUGCAAAUUGUGUUAAAGGAGCUGGACUCCCCAGUCCCUGGGUACCAACACACCAUUCUUACUUACUCCUGGUGCAGACUGUGCAAACAGGUGACACCAGUUGUUCCUCUUUCCAAUGAUUCUUGGUCUAUGUCUUUUGCAAAAUACCUUGAGCUGAGAUUCUAUGGGCACCAGUACACUCGAAGAGCCAAUGCAGAGCCUUGUGGUCAUUCCAUUCACCAUGACUAUCACCAAUAUUUUUCCUAUAAUCAGAUGGUGGCAUCUUUCAGCUACUCUCCAAUCCGGCUGCUUGAAGUAUGUGUCCCACUUCCCAAGAUCUACAUCAAAAGGCAAGCUCCGUCAAAGGUUACCAUUUUGCAGGAUCUCAAGGAUUUCUCUCAAAAGGUGUCACAAGUGUAUCUUGCUGUUGACGAUCGCCUUGCUUCUCUGAAAACUGAUACUUUCAGCAAAACAAGAGAAGAGAAGAUGGAAGACCUCUUUGCCCAAAAGGAGAUGGAAGAGGGAGAGUUUCGAAACUGGACUGAGAAAAUCCAAGCAAGGCUGCUUUCGUCAUCAUUAGACGCACCUCAACAGCUGCAAUCUGUUUUUGAGUCUCUAAUUGCUAAAAAGCAAGGACUUUGUGAGAUGCUGCAAGCCUGGAAUAACAGAUUACAGGAUCUCUUCCAACAAGAGAAAGGGAGAAAACGUCCAUCAGUACCACCCAGCCCUGGGAGACUGAGGCAAAGUGAAGAAAGCAAGAUCAGUUGCAUGGAUGCUUCCCCACGCAAUGCUUCUCCAGCACUGCAAAAUGGAGAGAAAGAGGACCGUUUCCUGACUACUUUAUCAAGUCAGAGCUCAACAGGCUCCACCCAUCUCCAGCUGCCCACCCCUCCAGAGGUUGUGUCAGAGCAUAUGGCUGGUGUUAGCACACUGUCUGAACAGGAUACAACAAGCAGCUCAGAAGAUGUGUUUGAUGGGCACUCACUGGGAUCUACAGACAGCCAAGUAAAGGAGAAGUCUACUAUGAAAGCUAUUUUGGCUAACUUUUUGCCUGGAAACAACUAUAACCCCAUUCCAUUUCCCUUUGAUCCAGAUAAGCACUACCUAAUGUAUGAGCAUGAGCGUGUACCUAUUGCAGUCUGUGAGAAAGAACCAAGCUCCAUCAUAGCUUUUGCUCUCAGUUGCAAGGAGUACAGAAAUGCCCUGGAUGAGCUGUCCAAAGCAUCUCUGAAGAACUGUUCUGAAGAAGGACUACAGCCUAACAGCAUGUCAGAUGGCAAACCAAAGAGCAGUAGCCCUGUCCGCCUUCCUGAGGCUAAUGUGGGUCCUUCCAAUCGUAGUACAGAACCAGAACAGCCAAAGAAACCAUCUGGUGUUUUGUCUUUCUUCCGUGGCACGGGAGGGAAGAGCCCAGACCUGUCUUCUCAGAAAAAAGAGACCUUACGUGGUGCUGACAGUGCCUACUACCAGGUUGGACAGAUGGGCAAAGAGGGAGCAGAAAAUCAAGGAACAGAGCCUCAAGAUGAUGCAGAUGGAGGAGAUGGACAGAAGAGACAGCUGGUGAAUCCUCAUGUAGAACUCCAGUUUUCAGAUCCGAAUGCCAAGUUCUACUGCCGGAUAUAUUAUGCUGGCGAGUUUCACAAGAUGCGGGAAGUAAUUCUGGGGAGCAGUGAAGAGGACUUCAUCCGAUCCCUUUCUCACUCUAUGCCCUGGCAGGCACGAGGUGGCAAAUCUGGGGCUGCAUUCUAUGUGACAGAGGAUGAUAGAUUCAUCUUGAAGCAGAUGCCUCGUCUGGAAGUCCAGUCGUUCCUCGACUUUGCUCCACACUACUUCACUUACAUCAUCAAUGCAGUUCAGCAGAAGAAGCCCACAGCACUGGCCAAAAUCCUCGGCGUAUAUCGAAUUGGAUACAAGAACUCUCAAAAUAACACUGAAAAGAAGCUGGAUCUGCUUGUUAUGGAAAACCUUUUCUAUGGCAGGAAAAUGGCUCAGGUUUUUGACUUGAAGGGCUCCCUCCGGAAUAGAAAUGUUAAAACAGACACAGGCAAGGAGAGCUGUGAUGUAGUCCUGCUGGAUGAGAACCUUCUGAAGAUGGUCCGGGACAAUCCUUUGUACAUCCGUUCCCAUUGCAAGGCUGUGCUCAGAGCUUCCAUACACAGUGACUCCCAGUUCCUCUCCAGCCACCUUAUCAUUGACUAUUCUCUGCUGGUGGGCCGUGAUGAUACCAACAAUGAGCUGGUUGUUGGGAUCAUUGACUAUAUUCGCACUUUUACCUGGGACAAAAAGCUUGAAAUGGUGGUGAAAUCAACUGGUAUCUUGGGAGGACAAGGUAAGAUGCCAACUGUGGUCUCUCCAGAACUGUACCGGACCAGAUUUUGUGAAGCUAUGGACAAGUAUUUCCUGAUGGUGCCAGACCACUGGACAGGACUGGGCCUGAAUUGCUAAGCUAAAGCCCAUAUUGGGAAAGCACAAGAAGACAAUGUCAUUAUAGGCCACUCUUCCUGUGGUCUGUCCAACAGUAGGCAAGAGGAUUGGAGUUCCAUGUCCACACUGACCACAUGCAUCAUGUUAUGAAGCAUGAAAUCUGCUUGUUGCACUUCAGUCCUCCCCUGGACACUGAUAAGCAAACUGGCCUUGCUAAAGAUUGAAGCUGUGAGGUACCACUGAACAGCAUUGAUAGGAGACAUUCCUUCUGUCACUAGAGACGGUGACGCUCUCUCCAUGUGAGAGCACUGAAGCAGGUACUAUCCAAUUCAUGAUGAUGUAGAAGUACAUGAUCUCUGUAAGUCUUGCGCUGCUGAACUAGUGUUGAAUAUGAGCAGCUCAUGUUUCUCUAGUGGAUGUGUGGUACUGCAGAUGUGGAAAAAAACCCCUCUAUGUCGGUGAAUGAGAGAAGAAUGAAGUUAAUUCGUGAGUUCUGCGGUUGUUGCAGGGGUCUGUAGUUGACCUGUUUAGGACCCAUGAGUAACUUGUCCUGUUUAUGCUCUGUAGCUUCAAUUUUACCUCAAUUCUGUAAACAGUAUUUUUUUUUAAAGGCAGCUAAAAUGCCAUGUCACUACAUCUCUUAAGUUAUAUUACUGUAGUACAACUCUGUCGUUAUUUCAUUUUAGCUGUAUCAUAAAAAUGGGUUGUCAGUCACUAGUAUACUGCAAAACCUAAGACAUAUCCCUUCAGUCCUAAACAGUAAUUUGAUCUGAAUGUUGCCCGAAUGCUUGGAAACAUGUAACUGAAUUGUAAUGUAACAAGACCUGAUUAAUUAUAGGUAUGAAGCUGAUUAACCCUUUCCUUAGCAUAAGGCACUAAGUUUCUAGACAAAAUGAAGUAUGUUGCCUUAGAGUGACAACAUUUUCCUUAGUGAAACAUCAUUCCUGGCAGAUCCCUUCAAAUCCAUUUCAGUUCCCCAGAGCUUUCAAACAAGGCAUUUACCUCAUGGUGAAACUUUGCCAGGAGAAUGUUGUUCUAGUGAGAAUGACCAGCUCUCACGACACCGUGUGGUUUCAAUGGAAAAAAUGUCUUUUGAGCAGUAUUAGAUUUUUGAUUUUUGCAUCACUGAGAUGAAUGUAGUUGUCUUUUUCUGUAAAAAGGAAAACCUGAACUAACAAGUAUCUUGUAUGAUGGAUAUGUGCAGAGAUCUGUGAAUCUGUUACAACAAUAAGCACUUCCUUCCAUUUUUAUUAAUUUUUACCUGAUUUUGUAGGUGAUGAGUUUACUUUUUAGCUUCUUUGUAAUAUAGGCCAGUAAAUAAGAGGAUUUUUUAUGAGUUUGAGAAGUAAGAAUACUGUUUUUUGACUUUAUCUCUGAUUGAAGGACUUCAAAUGAAUAUGGAGUCUAGGACAGUUUAGCUCUUUAUGACCACUUGUGUGUUUUGACCAGGUGCCUGGUAAUGCCAUCUUCACUGUAACUAUUGAUUGAAAUCUGCAUUUUGUUCACUACUCCUGUGUUCAGUAUUUUCUUCUGCAGCAGUUAUUGGUGGCUUUGGUCAGGAGUCAUAGCUGGACAGUACAGAGGAAGUAAAAUGCCAGUGAUGAGAAUUGACUUGUGGCUCCAAAUACAACCAGGGCAGCUCAGGUCUAAGCUGCCAGGAGGCAACAGUCUUUUCUGUUGGAAGAAGUCUUUCCCCACCCCACUGCAAAGCCUUGAUGGAGGAUGAGCAAAGAUGCUAACCUUGAAGCAGGAAAAAUGAAAGUAUCCUCACUUCCUCUGUAUAGUGUAAUCAUUGGUUCUGGGGAUGCAAUCUUGAAGGCUGCAGUGGUGUGUGCUGUGGAAUUAUGACAUGGUACUUUCUGCUUCUCUGGCCCAGAAUCUCUUUGAUCCAACACAGCACUUGUGUCCCAGAGAUGGUCAGCUGUACCUAUCUUGCCUCUUUAGUUGAAAUGUACUCCCAGGAUGGCUAGCUGUGUGUGUGGGGCCUUGUGUAACAAGGAACCAGCCAGUCCAUCAGCUCAAUGUUACUCUCACUUUUGUGGCUGAUGCCUUUUGUCUUGGUCCGUUGAUAUCAAAGAGCAUGCCAUGCAGCCUGAAUCUGCUCCAGUCUCAGUUAAAAGUUUACAUGUGAUGUUUCUUCUUCUAGAGUUUACAGGGAAAAACUUGACUUCCCCACCAGCUAAGGUGACCCAAGAGCAGCCAGUUAUGCUCUCUUCCACGUUUCACAGUAUAGUUUAGUUGAUGGAGCAUGAAUAUGGGCAGUGUCAUGGCAUCUGCACUAGGCUAAUAUAGAGCUGUGAUGUUCUUGCCCUGUCCUGUCACCAGUAACCUUUAAUCCAGUGAUGUGUGGCUGCUCUGUACUGCUUGUUGUCUGAAAUCCCAAUCAGCAGCUCUAAACCAACAUGAUGAUCUGACUGUAGCUAAUGUUUACCUGUACCUGACAGCUUGAGGCCCUCAGCACUGUAGAAGUGAGAGAGACUUCCACUGGCUAGUUCUUUUGCAUCCUGUGCAUACAGAGCCCGGAUAAUGUGAAUUGUGACCUUCUUGGGAUGAAGUUAUAGCAGUUGGAGAGACAUGCAGGAGUGAUCUUGAGCUGGCAUCAACAGCUAACUUUGGCUAAAGGUGAUGGAUAAUUCAUUCAGGGAACAGGACUCCUACAAUAUCAAACUGAAGACCUGAAAUGUAAGGAUUUUGCCUGUAUUAUGUGCCAUCACCACUUUUGCAAGAAGGGUGUGUUUUGGCUGCGAGAAACAGAAGAAUCCUGCCUUCAGCUCUUGAGGAUUUUUGUGGUGCUUAAUCUAUAAAGCUGACAAAGAGGAGGUGGGAGAAAGAGGCACAAAACAACACUGAAAACCUCACAAAAAUGAAAACACCCAAAACCGGGCAGCUGGGCUCUGCACCAGUCCUCCCUGCACCUCCAUGGGGUACCUCACACACCCGGCAACCCUGCACGGGCUGCUCUGACAUGUGUUCAUCCCAAAAGCUGCAGCUCCUCUCUGCCUCUCAUGUGGGUCUGCUCUGCGGCCCGCAGGCUCUCCAGCACAGCCUGCGCAUGGCUGCCUCCUCAUACAGCCACUCCAGGUACACUCACCUGGAGCUGCUCUCAGUCCUGCUGUUGCCCUCUGUGGGUUGCAAGGGUACAGCCUGUGUUCUCACCACGGCUUGCAGAAGGGUCUCUGGUCUGGUAUUCCUGUGGGGCCCACGUGGUCGCCUCCAUCUUGUACCACUCUUAUACCUCCUCCCAAGCACUUCAAAUUCCCAUCCUUAAAUAGUGAUGGAAGAGGCGCCAGAUUGGCCCAGCCGGGCUGGAGGUGGGUCUGAACCCAGGAGCUGGGGGAGAGUCCAAAAACUCUUUACUGGGUCUCCACUGCAACCCGCUCCCCAUGUUACCAAGCAAAAGCUGCUUCUUGCUAAACCAUGAUACGGUUAUUCAAAUUAUAUACUAUAGUGACAGAACAAAGUCAUUCAAGACAUAAUGAUCCAGUGAUCAAAGGUUGGAUGCUAAGGUAAAGGAGUGUAAUUACUGAGAGUGUUGAAUUAGAGUUGCAGAGAUGGGAUGGUGUAGGCACAAAUGUGGUUUGGACCAGCCAGCUUGAAUAAAGAUGGUAGGUUAAUGCAGCUGGCAAGCUACUUCCAAUUAUCAGAAACAGGUGCUGCAAGUUAAUCAGUUGGGCCCUGGAUGAUCACAUGGGCAGAAGCAGCAUAUAAGGAGGUAGCUAGCAAAGGAAGGGUGGCUUCAAGUCAACUCUGUUGGUUGUACUAUGUUGCUUGUGUAUGUCUCUGCACGUGCAUUACCUAGAUUGUCUAUGUCUUUGAAUGAAUAUUGCUUGCACCUCUACAACAUUUGGUGACCCCGACAUGAUUAGCUGAAUUUGUUGGAUUAAGAACCCUUGGCAGAAAAGCACCUGGAUUCCUGCUUGAAAAGGCAAGUGACCUGAGUAAACUGGUAUAAUGGGAAAAAUGAUGAGCAAAGAGGAAAAUCCUAUUGACACCCUCCAGCAUAUCGUUGCUGAGAGAGGAUUCAAUUAUGAAAGAAAGGUUUUGUUAAGACUUUGUAAGAUGGAAUCAGGAAGUAGGUCUCUUUCUCUCCCCCCAAGAAGUAUAUGAAAAGGGACAUUGGGAAAAUCUAGGAUACACGUUGAAUAAUGUUAUUGGCCUGUGUAAACUGGUAUCAUCCAUUAUACACCAGCUAGAAGCUGAGCGUGCUACAGCUGCUGCUGUGAAAGCAGAAAAUGCUGUACCAUCUGCGUUCCCUGUAGAUGCUAAAAGGUUCUUUAGAGGUGGUGACUUUAUAGUGCCAUCGGCUCCACCUCUAGAAGAAAAUACUAAGAGACUCUUUGGAGGGGAUAAUGUCAUAGUACCCUCGGCUCCACCUCUAGAAGAGGAGAGCAUGGAUGUGAGCCCACCCCCCCCCCAGAACUCCCUAGAGUACCUUUCCAGGAGCCAAAUGCACGCAUUGUUUCUCCUCCCCUCCCACCUACCCUUCACCAUCCUGCCCCAUCCCAUCCUGCUGCCAUGCCUGAAGGAGUACCUGGCAGAGAAGGAAAGGUACGCUUUGCCCGUGACACUACGGAUCUACCAUUGCCCCUGAGCUCAUCAACCGCUGAGUGUAUUCCUCUUCCAUCAUCACCUCCAACAUCUAGUGAAGGGGAAGAUCAACAAAGACAAUUGUUAAAGGAAGAAUUAAUAAGACAUGGAGAAGAUAUGAAACAGAGUUUGGCCCACUUGGAGGAACUGAUUGAAAAGCCAAAAGCAACAGCUAAUCAACUGUUGAAAUGGAUUGAUGAAUUAACUAGACCAGGGAUUAAAGUUUCACCCCCACAGGUGCUCAGAGACCCCCAGCCAGAUGACUAUGAUCUGGCUAAGAAAUGGAGAGGCCUCAUACGUGAUGCAGUAAUUGAAGAAUUUAUUCCACAAGCCUUUCCAGUAAUAACAGCACAUAAAAAACAACAAUGAGCACCUUUGGAUUGGACGUUGGUAAGGGAAGGCCAGAAAGCAGUAAUGCAAUAUGGCUUGUCCAACCCAUACAUUCAAACAUUAUUGGAUCAUAUUUUCGCCAGCGGAUUAAUGACUCCAUUUGACUGCUGGAAGCUAGCAGAAACCUUCCUGAAGCCCACUCAGGUAUUACUAUGGGAAUCUGAAUGGGGAAAAAAGAGUCGACAUGGCAGUAGUAGAAAAUAUGGACUUAAAACAGGGAGAUCUGUGGCGAGUUGUCACAGCAGACAUGAUGCUGGGUAAAGGACCGUUUGCUGACCCUCAGGUACAAGCCCGACUGCAUGAAGCUAUUUUGCAGCAAACACAGACACUGGCUCAUCAAUUGUUUAAGAUUGUCUCUGACAUGGACGUGCCAGUUCCCUCAUACACAACCAUUAUAUAGAAACCCAAUGAGCCUUUUAUGACCUUUUUAGACUGUCUAAGAGCAGCUCUGGAUCAUAUACCAAACAUGUCAGCUGAAGUAAAAGCGGAAAUAGGGUUACACGUAGCAGUUGCUAACACUAACCAUGACUGCAAAAAGAUCCUGCAGGCUCUCCCACGGACAGCAACUUUGGUUGACAUGAUAGAAACCUGCUCUCAGGUAGGAUCAUCAGCACAUUUAGCUGAAGCCAUGGCAACAGCAUUGAAACCUUUAGUUCAACAACACAAAGGAAAUUGGAGGCCAAAAUGCUUUAACUGUGGAAAAAUAGGACAGGUGAAAAAUCAAUGUCCAUCCAGACGAUUGGUAUGGACAAACAGCUCCAUCAGACCAUCAGGGUCCAAUGGCAGAUUUAAUGGCAAUUGUUGCAAAUGUGGCAAGUUUGGACAUAGAGCCACUGAGUGCCGCUCUCGAGUGGCCAGACACGCAACACCUAAGGGAAACGGGUUAAUGAGUGCAAAAAGGGUGAGCGCGAUGACACAAAAACGCCCUUCAACACCAAGAGCUGCCUGGAUGGCCUCAGAUCAGCCACUGCAGGAAGCGCAGGAGUGGAUGCGGAAACAGCAGUAAAAUAGCUCAAUUAUUUCCUUUCAGAGCUAAAGUUCCUUUCGCAGGAAGUCGUAAGCGUCGAGACGGUGGUUUUGGAUCCACUGGAGUACCUGAGGAAAAGACCUGGACCAGCAUCAGAUUCUACAAGAAGUGAACCGACAGUUGAGCAUCUCUGGGUUGGUGAUGGUGCCAGAGAAGGUACAAAUGCACGCCUCUUGGAAAUAUUUAGGUAAUAUUAUCACCAGUGCGCACAUUUAUCCUCAGAAGGUGGCAAUUAAAACAGAAAUUGCUAAUUUAACAGAUGUUGAAAAGCUAAUAGGUGAUAAUCCAAUGGGUAUGAACCAUAUGUGGUAUCACGAAUGAGGAUCUUGUACCACUAAUGCCUUUGUUAAAAGGCAUUUGCAAAAAGCAAUCACCACAAGACUAGAAGCAAUUGUGAAAAUAAUAGUUAAGGCCAGGAAACAUCUGCUGGAAAUAGCAGGGAUUGAGGCAGAUGUCGUUUCCGUUCCUCUCACAGAUGAGUUCUUGAACUGGGCGCUGCAACAAUCUGAUGAAUUACAGUGGGCCUUAUUGUCAUAUCCAGGGACUAUAAAUAAUCAUUAUCCGGCCCAUAAAUUGUUUUCUGUUAAAUUUCAAAUGGAAGACCGGCCGUUGAGAUCAGCAGUACCCGUUAAAGGCCUGACUGCUUUUACCGACGCCAGUAAGAUCCAAGCCAAAGCAGGAGUGGUUUGGUGGGAGAAUGGAAAGUGGCAAAACCUAACUGUUCACUCCCCAGGCAGUUCAGUUCAACUGCUGGAACUGAUGGCUGUAGUUAAAACUUUUGAGAAAUGGCCAGACUUCCCAUUAAACAUCAUCUCUGAUUCCCUCUGUGUGGUUGAUGCUGUCACUCGAUUAGAGAGCGUUGUUGAAAGAAAUCUCUAAUCAGAAUCUGAAUAACUUAUUUCUGCAGCUCUGGCAUCAGAUAAAUGAACGGCAAACUGCUUAUUAUAUUGGACAUAUUUGAAGCCAUUUGGGCUUAAAAGAUGGCCUAUCAGUUGGCAAUGAAAUUGUUGACAAGAUAGUAGCAGCUCUGUUAUUGAUACCUCUGGGGCCAAUAAUUGACACAUUUUCUCAAGCCUCAAGGUCGCAUGAUUUUUUUCACCAAAGUGCGAAAAUGCUGGCGAAGCAGUUUGACCUGACCAUAUUGGACGCUCAGGGUAUUGUUUCCACGUGCCCUGCAUGCCAGAAUCAGAUCGGCCUAGGAGUAGGAGUCAAUCCCAGGGGUCUGGCACCAUUAGGUAUAUGGCAAUCAGAUAUCACUGUCUAUGCUCCCUUUGGACGAUUUAACGAAUACAUGUCACCAUUGAUACUUAUUUGGCCAUGGCUUGGGCCACAGCCUUAACGAGCGACAGCGCUCGAGACGUCAUAAGACAUUGGAGGAGUUGCUUUGCAAUCCUUGGUGUUCCAAGAGAGAUAAAAACUGAUAAAGGCUCAGGAUAUAUACCCAGUAGAACAAGUAAGUUUCUGAACUUAUGGGGUGUUAAACAUACUACUGGAAUCCCAGGAAAUUCCACCGGUCAAGCCAUUAUUGAACGUACUCAUCAAACCUUAAAAGGACUGCUAGAAAAACAAAAAACGGGGGAAGAGGGGGUGAGCCCUCAAGAUAGACUAAUGAAAGCCCUUUAUACAAUGAAUCAUCUCAGAAUUGUGGCAAAGCGGAAUGAACCACCGGCAUUAACACACUUUGCCCAAAUGAGUCGGGAUUUGGAUUUUACUGACAAACCUAAAGUUUGGUAUAAGAAUCCCACUACUGGAGAGUGGCAAGGACCUGCAGAUCUGUUAACGUGGGGAAGAGGCUACGCUUGUGUCAUUACAGAUCAAGGUCCCCGAUGGAUUCCGGCAAAAUGGAUCAAGCCACACCAACCGAAAGGACUGAAUCACUAUAAGAGCAAUGGAAAAAACAAUCUUGAGGAAAGAACCAAGUGAUCCACCCUCAAUCCAUCACUCUGUUAAAAUGUAAACUCUCUCAACUGUGGCACCACGUAUGCUGCUGUAAAUUCCUCCAGCUAUCUGUAUCACAUUAAGAGAAUUGAAGAACUUAACAAGAUGACCAAUGGGAACUUGAAAGCAAAAAUGGUGUGUUUUCUACGGAUGAAGAGAUACUUCCAUCUUAUAAUGCUCACAGAUCAGCAUGCUAAAGAAGUUGAAGAAAAGUCCAAAACUACAUUCAGGAAACAGAAAUAUUAGUGGAGUUACCAAGAACUCAUCCCUUUCUGCCAGUGUGCGUCCCUCCUAGCAACAUAUAUCAAAUUUAUGUUUAUUUUGAGUUUAUGGAUGUUUGUAUUAUAUUGUUCAGCAAUGUAGCUGUUAUUGAUCUUUUGUUGUAAACUCAUGGCCAUGGGUAAAAAUAUUUAUGUUUUCUUCAUGUACCUUUAAUUUUGAAAUGUGUUGCUAAAGCCUGGAUGGUCCAAAAAAGAAAAAGGGGGGAAUUGUAGGCACAAAUGUGGCUUGGACCAGCCAGCUUGAAUAAAGAUGGUAGGGACAAGUUAAUGCAGCUGGCAAGCUACUUCCAAUUAUCAGAAACAGGUGCUGUGAGUUAAUCAGUUGGGCCCUGGAUGAUCACAUGGGCAGAAGCAGCAUAUAAGGAGGUAGCUAGCAAAGGAAGGGUGGCUUCGACUCAACUCGGUUGUACUAUGUUGCUUGUGUAUGUCUCUGCACGUGCAUUACCUAGAUUCUCUAUGUCUUUGAAUGAAUAUUGCUUGCACCACUAAAACAGGAUGGGAAUGUAAUAACUUUUCUUCAUUGUUUACAUAGGAUAUUUUUCUAAUACAGCCUCAGCAAAAAUGAAACAUAUAGCAUUUGUGGGCUUCUGUUAGUGAACCAGCUGAGAUCUGAUAUAAUAAAAAUAACCUAGCUACCUGAUGAGAAAGUUACAUAUCUAAGACAUUACAAUUGGGAUUGCUUAAUGUACACAUAUGCACAGAAAAAGAGGAAGAAAAUGUUUUAUUUUUCUACCAGCAUUAUAAAGACUAUCUGAAACACAGGGAGAAAAACUAUUUUCUGGAAACUUCAGGACAGCUGUAUGAAUUUCUAAUGGUUGAAAGGAUUUGUAAUCAAUUCUGAUAUUGAUACCAAGUAUGUUCAUGUUAAUGACAAGGAAGGAAAAGACUAAGAUAAUUCUUUAUGAAUUAUCAUGGUAGCCUACGAUAUGCAGAAAUUAUAUCCACUUCAUUUAAGUUUGAGCUGCCAUGUGGAACAGAAGUAUUCUGCAUUCUGUCCGUUAAGGCCCUAGAAAGCAAAGAGCCUUUUCAAGACAGUAUUUCCUACUCAAGAUCAGGUAUAUUAUUAAGAAUUCACCACAACUUCCUUGUUUUUACAGUGAGAGUACACAUUCCCUUAGGAAACAAUUUUUUUUAAUAUAUCCAACUAACUGUAAUGAAUUUGACAGUAACAUAAAAGGAGUCUAUUCGAGCUUAGAAAAACAGCAAUACAGAGAGAACUCUGCUUAACAUUGAGGUUAACUACUUACUAUCAUGUUCUUACUGUUGACUAUCUAGAGUGUGGUGGCUUACAUACAGAUGGAAGAAAAAAAUUAGCAAUGAAUUCUAGCAUAGAGAGAAGACCCAGGUUAAAGGUAUUUGGGCUUGGAAUGUCACUGUUUUCAGAUGCAAAGUUUCAGUAAAUGAUGUAGGUUCUUCUUGUGCAUUCCUACUGACAACUUAAAUAUUAGCACUUUUAAAGUCUUUUCAUAAACUGAUAAAAAUACACGGAGUUUCCACAGCUAAUUAAACCUUAAGCAUGCCCAUGCAUGGAAAAAAAUCAAACUUGUCAAGUUUAAUCAAAACAUGAUGUCUGUAACUGUGGACCAUGUAAAAUGAUUAUAUUGCUUGAAACUUUUGCUACGUUUCCUCUAUUUAUGCCUUUUAGCAGCAGCAUAAGCAAAAGGAGCCAAACGUGUCCUGGGAACUUUGUUUUAAUAUGUAAGGCAUGACAGCUAAUUAGUUCAGUGACACAACCAUAGAUGUCCUUCUUUUAAUUGAAGGAAAAUGGUAUGCAAAAGAUAAUGUUAGAAGCCAUUGGGCCUCCAUAUCUACUGUGCCACCUAUUGUACUGCAUACACACAUUUUCUGUUUUAGGUGGAGAGGGUGGUGCCCUGCUCUGAUUUGAUUGAGAGGUUUUGUGGCAUUCAGUCAAAACCCAUAGGUCAUCACGCUUGUCCACCCAGUUGAACAGUCACACUAGAGUGGUGCUAGGAAAAGAGUGAAGAAUAAGGGAUACUGAACACUAUCUACAGGGAGAAGUAGAACAAUCUUGGUCAUGCAAUGAGAGUAAAAUUGUAAUUUAAUCUUGUGAGAAGAGAGGGGAACUAAGGAAUGGUGGAACAUUAUUUAAAAUCUGAGCAUUCAUUUAUAUACUGUUUUGGAUUAAUCUUCUACUUGGUUUAUUGCUUGCAUAUGUGAAUUCAAAGGUUUUAAGUAUUAAAAUUUAAGUAUAAAAAUGUUACUAAAAUAUUACUACAACUUGCUUUGAACUAUGUUUGUCACUGGGGGGAAGGGAAUAUAUUCCAAAGUAUUUGUUGACCAGCAUCAUUCUUCACUGCAUUUAGAGAAGAUUUUUCAUUAUUCUGGGUGUUUUUUGUGGUUUGGUGGUAAUGUGUUUGUGGGGUUUUUAUUUGAUUUCUGAAGAAUGAGGCUGUGCUGAUACUGUCAUGAUGCUAAAGGAGAAAAUGGAAGAACCUGGCUACUUUAGUAUCUUCUUAUUUAAAAAGUAGUGCUGCUCCAGGAAGUGUCUUGAAUAACCAGUUCAGAUACUUGAUUAAUAAAAAUUGUAUCAUGUGGUUAUGUGACUAUUAGAGAUGUUUGGAGAUACAACUAUGCUUUAUUUAAUUAUUUACUUGUAAGCGUAGGAAUAA
This is an RNA transcript of Colius striatus (speckled mousebird), 17452 nucleotides long. It is a transcript of the gene named phosphoinositide kinase, FYVE-type zinc finger containing, with no coding region annotated. The record is from RefSeq and is a predicted model, not a curated record. The transcript has 46 exons. Lineage: Eukaryota; Metazoa; Chordata; Aves; Coliiformes; Coliidae.